This 199-nucleotide ribosomal RNA is filed under the name uncultured bacterium. RNAcentral describes it as "partial 16S ribosomal RNA". It matches the Rfam family "Bacterial small subunit ribosomal RNA", at positions 326 to 539 of the family's 1533-position model. The record is from RNAcentral.
ACGCUCGACACCUACGGGAAGCAGCAGUUGGGAAUAUUGGACAAUGGAGGAAACUCUGAUCCAGUGACGCCGCGUGAAGGAAGAAGGUCUUCGGAUUGUAAACUUAUUUUGUCAGGGAAGAAAAAUGACUGUACCUGAAGAAAAAGCACCGGCUAACUACGUGCCGACAGCCGCGGUAAUCUGAGCGGGCUGGCAAGGC